CAUCCCACCUCCUUGACCUGUCUGUCUUCCCUGGACUGACCUAUCCCCUCCCUACCUCCCCACCUAUUCUCUCUCCACCUAACUUCUUUACUCUCCAUCUUCGGUCCGCCUCCCCCUCUCUCCCUAUUUAUUCCAGUUCCCUCUCCCCAUCCCCCUAUUUCUGAUGAAGGGUCUAGGCCCGAAACGUCAGCUUUAGUGCUCCUGAGAUGCUGCUUGGCCUGCUGUGUUCAUCCAGCCUCACAUUUUAUUAUCCAGGAAGAAAACAGCUGGAGUACAAAGGUUAUUGACCAAGAAAACAGCUGGAUUUAGAGAUGGUUGAUGGAAGCAAACAGCUGGUGUGAGGGAAGAAGGAGCAGAGACUGGCAUUGCCGAAUGGGGCUCCUGAGGAACACCAGACGAUGCUUGACACAGACAGUGCAAACCAUCAGGG
Molecule: long non-coding RNA, 430 nt
Organism: Stegostoma tigrinum
Lineage: Eukaryota; Metazoa; Chordata; Chondrichthyes; Orectolobiformes; Stegostomatidae
Exons: 3
Source: RefSeq, a predicted model, not a curated record